UAGGGAAUAUUAGAAAUGGACGAAAGUCUGAUCUAGCGACACCGCGUGUGCGAUGAAGGCCUUCGGGUUGUAAAGCACUUUUUGGAAGGAAUAGGAAGGAAGGUACUUCCAGAAUAAGUCUCGGCUAACUACGUGCCAGCAGCCGCGGUAACACGUCGGAGGCAAACGUUAUCCGGAUUUACUGGGCGUACAGAGCGUGAAGGUGGUUCUGUAAGUAGGGCGUGAAAGCUCCCGGCUCAACUGGGUGAGGCCGUUCUAAACUGCAGAACUAGAGGAUGGUAGAGGGAGUUGGAAUUUCAGGUGUAGCGGUGUAAUGCGCAGAUAUCUGAAGGAACACCAGUGGCGAAAGCGGCCUCCUGGACCAUUCCUGACACUCAGACGCGAAAGCUAGGGUAGCAAACG
This 402-nucleotide ribosomal RNA is filed under the name uncultured prokaryote. RNAcentral describes it as "bacterial SSU rRNA". It matches the Rfam family "Bacterial small subunit ribosomal RNA", at positions 355 to 774 of the family's 1533-position model. The record is from RNAcentral.